CUCCUUUUCGGUUGGGUCUUUCUCUGCUUUGGGGAUCAAGGUGAUGCUUGCUCCCAGGAAUGAAUUUGGGAGUAUUGCUUCCCUUUCAAUUUCAUUGAAGAGUUUAAACAGUAGUGGCAGCUGUUCCUCUCUAAAUGUAUUGUAGAAUUCAGCAGUGAAGCCAUCAGGACCCAGGCUUUUCUUAGUUGAUAAGCUUUUAAUUAGGUUUUCAAUUUCACUGGUUGAUAUUGGGUUGUUCAGAAUUUUUAGGUCUUCUUCAUUCAACUUUGGUAAUUCAUAUGUGUCUAAGAAUCUGUCCAUUUCUUCUGUGUUGUCCAUCUUAUUGGCGUAUAGGUUCUGGAAGUAGGUUUUGAUGAUCCUCUGGAUUUCUGCUGGGUCUGUUGUAAUUUCACCCUUUUCAUUCCUAAUUGCAGGGAUUUGGGCCUUUUCUUUCCUUUUUCUGAUAAGGUUGGCUAAGGGUUUGUCAAUUUUGUUGAUUCUUUUGAAGAACCAACUCUUGGGUUCAUUGAUUUUUUGUAUCAUUCUCUUAGUCUCCAUUGCAUUGAUUUCUCCUCUGAUCUUUAUAAUUUCCUCCCUUGUAUGAGCUCUGGGGUUGUCCUGCUCUUCUUUUUCUAGAAGCUUGAAGUUCAGCAUCAGGUUGUUUAAUUGGGCUCAUUCUGUUUUCCUAAUAUGCGUAUUCACUGCUAUGAAUUUCCCUCGUAAGACUGCUUUCAUUGUGUCACUUAGAUUCCGAUAUGUUGUAUUGUCAUUGUCAUUUAAUUGAAGGAACUGUCUGAUUUCUUCUUUAAUUUCCUCUGGGACCCAUUGGUUAUUCAGAAGUGUGUUGUUCAAUUUCUACAUGUUUAUGAAAUUCUUUGACUUUCUUUUGCUAUGAAUCUCCAAUUUCAUCGCAUUAUGGUCUGAUAAUAUACAGGGGAUAACUUCAACUCCUUUGCACUUACUUAAACAUGUUCUAUGUGUGAGUAUGUGGUCUAUUUUGGAGAAUGACCCAUGUGCAGCUGAGAAGAAUGUGUAUUCUGAUUUUGUGGGGUCGAAGACUCUGUAAACAUCUGUUAAGUUCAUUUGUUCAAGAGUUCGAUUGAGUUCUAGUAUUUCAUUACUUAUUUUUUGUCUAAUUGUUCUAUAUAUUUGUGACAGUGGGGUGUUGAGGUCCUCCACUACAAUUGUAUUAGUGCAUAUAUAACUUUUCAUGUCCAUUAGUAUUUGUUUUAUAUAGUUGGGCACACUAGUGUUUGGUGUAUAGAUAUUUAUGAUUGUCAUCUCUUCCUCUUCGAUUGUUCCCUUUACAAGGAUGUAGUGUCCUUCUUCGUCUCUCUUAAUCAGUGUUGGUUUGAAAUCUACUUGAUCUACCAAGAGGAUAGCUACUCCUGCUUUUCUUUGAGUUCCUGCCACAUGGAGUAUUGUUUUCCACCCUUUAACUUUCAGUCUAUGAGUUUCCUUUUGAAUUGUGUUUCUUGUAUUCAGCAUAUUGUUGGAUUUUGCUUCUUGACCCAUUCUGCCAGUCUAUUUCUUUUGAUUGGUGAAUUGAGACCAUUAACAUCGAUGGUUAUAACUGAAACAUAUUGACUUGUCAUUGCCAUGACUUUUUCUUUUUAUUGGGUUCUCCCCCUUUACAUUUAAUUUCUUGUCAUGCCAGAUGAGUUC
Molecule: long non-coding RNA, 1644 nt
Organism: Heterocephalus glaber (naked mole-rat)
Lineage: Eukaryota; Metazoa; Chordata; Mammalia; Rodentia; Bathyergidae
Source: Ensembl